RNAcentral lists this ribosomal RNA (463 nucleotides) under uncultured bacterium. Its description in RNAcentral is "partial 16S ribosomal RNA". It matches the Rfam family "Bacterial small subunit ribosomal RNA", at positions 339 to 795 of the family's 1533-position model. The record is from RNAcentral.
CUACGGGUCGCUCCAGUGGGGAAUAUUGCACAAUGGGCGCAAGCCUGAUGCAGCCAUGCCGCGUGUAUGAAGAAGGCCUUCGGGUUGUAAAGUACUUUCAGCGGGGAGGAAGGGAGUAAAGUUAAUACCUUUGCUCAUUGACGUUACCCGCAGAAGAAGCACCGGCGACUCCGUGCCAGCAGCCGCGGUAAUACGGAGGGUGCAAGCGUUAACAGGAAUUACUGGGCGUAAAGCGCACGCAGGCGGUUUGUUAAGUCAGAUGUGAAAUCCCCGGGCUCAACCUGGGAACUGCAUCUGAUACUGGCAAGCUUGAGUCUCGUAGAGGGGGGUAGAAUUCCAGGUGUAGCGGUGAAAUGCGUAGAGAUUUGGAGGAAUACCGGUGGCGAAGGCGGCCCCCUGGACGAAGACUGACGCUCAGGUGCGAAAGCGUGGGGAGCAAACAGGAUUAGAUACCCUCGUAGUC